CCUACGGGAGGCAGCAGUAGGGAAUAUUGCACAAUGGGGGAAACCCUGAAGCAGCAACGCCGCGUGGAGGAUGAAGGUUUUAGGAUUGUAAACUCCUUUUGUUAGAGAAGAUUAUGACGGUAUCUAACGAAUAAGCACCGGCUAACUCCGUGCCAGCAGCCGCGGUAAUACGGAGGGUGCAAGCGUUACUCGGAAUCACUGGGCGUAAAGAGUGCGUAGGCGGGGUAAUAAGUCAGAUGUGAAAUCCUGUAGCUUAACUACAGAACUGCAUUUGAAACUGUUACUCUGGAGUGUGGGAGAGGUAGGUGGAAGUCUUGGUGUAGGGGUAAAAUGCGUAGAGAUCAAGAGGAAUACUCAUGGCGAAGGCGACCUGCUGGAACAUUACUGACGCUGAUGCACGAAAGCGUGGGGAGCAAACAGGAUUAGAUACCCUAGUAGUC
Molecule: ribosomal RNA, 440 nt
Filed under: uncultured bacterium
Lineage: Bacteria
Description: partial 16S ribosomal RNA
Rfam family: Bacterial small subunit ribosomal RNA
Source: RNAcentral